UAUCAAUAAGCGGAGGAAAAGAAACUAACAAGGAUUCCCCUAGUAACUGCGAGUGAAGCGGGAAAAGCUCAAAUUUAAAAUCUGGUGGUCUUUCGGCCAUCCGAGUUGUAAUUUAGAGAAGCGUCUUCCGCGCUGGACCGUACACAAGUCUCCUGGAACGGAGCGUCAUAGAGGGUGAGAAUCCCGUCUUUGGUACGGACCCCCAGGGCUUCUGUGAUGCGCUCUCGAAGAGUCGAGUUGUUUGGGAAUGCAGCUCAAAAUGGGUGGUGAACUCCAUCUAAAGCUAAAUAUUGGCGAGAGACCGAUAGCGAACAAGUACCGUGAGGGAAAGAUGAAAAGCACUUUGGAAAGAGAGUGAAACAGUACGUGAAAUUGUUGAAAGGGAAACGCUUAAAGUCAGUCGCGUCCGCCGAGACUCAGCCUCGCUCCGGCUUGGUGUAUUUCUCGGUCGACGGGUCAGCGUCAAUUUCACCCCUCGGAUAAUGGCAAUGGAAAGGUGGCACCUUUGCGGGUGUGUUAUAGUCCUUUGUCGCAUGCGAGGGGUGGGAUUGAGGAACUCAGCACGCGCGCCCUCUGGGGUGUGUCGGGGCCUCGGCCCACGCCACGUGCUUAGGAUGCUGGCGUAAUGGCUUUAAACGACC
This 641-nucleotide ribosomal RNA is filed under the name Russula aff. chloroides r-01002. Its description in RNAcentral is "LSU rRNA". It matches the Rfam family "Eukaryotic large subunit ribosomal RNA", at positions 41 to 649 of the family's 3401-position model. The record is from RNAcentral. Lineage: Eukaryota; Fungi; Basidiomycota; Agaricomycetes; Russulales; Russulaceae.